Columba livia (rock pigeon) is the source of this 1683-nucleotide long non-coding RNA. RefSeq lists it as uncharacterized. NCBI's taxonomy places the organism in Eukaryota, Metazoa, Chordata, Aves, Columbiformes, Columbidae. The record is from RefSeq and is a predicted model, not a curated record. The transcript is spliced from 2 exons.
ACGCCUCCGGUGCGCGCUGCGCGCGUUUGGUAGCGCGUGCUCUCGGGUGAGGCGGCGGCGCCACGUGGGAGCUGCCGGUGUGAAGUGCGGAGCGACAAACGCACCCAAUUGAAUGGAGAAGCAAGUGGACAAGAAGUUCCUGUGCCACAACACAGAUAAUAUUUAUUACUCUCAGCUUCAGAGACCUGGAGAACCAUUUCAGCCCUGCCUUUAAGCAGCCUCUGCCUAUACACUUUUUCCAGGGGAAACACAGGUUGCCAGUAAAAUGCCAGAUCAAACCACAGGCUGUACGUACACUCUGCAGCUUUCAAGCCCAGUUCUGUGUUAGCUCACCCCUGCAAUAUUGUGCUGCACAUGCAACUUUGACUUGCACUGUCUGUUGCAGUGUGUGUUUGGCUUUGGUGAGGACAGCGUGUGUUUGUCAGCAGUUAGUGCAGGGUGGAAUCUUCAGGAGAAAAUGCAGUUUUCCAUUCUAGAAGUCGUUGAUGGUGAUGUGUUGUUGUGGAAGAUUUCAUGGAGGUUUUUGGUGUUGGAGUAUUAUUGCAGAAUGAGUGGAUUUGUGAGGUUUGUCUAUGAGAUGCAGUAAAGAGAGCAGUUUAGAGAGGAAGGACUGGAGAUUUGGGCAGUUUGUAGGUAGGUUUUGGAUGGUUGUCAGCUUAAGAGUUGGAGGUUUACACGAUAAGUGUAGGGUAGAAGGUGAAGUUGGCCUGGGUGGUGCAAUUGGAUGGGUGUGGAAAGCUGAUGAGAAAUGGGCUUCUGCAAGUGACCCCAAAACCUGAAGAUUCAUCUGGCAGCUCUCGACAUUUCUCCCUGCCUGGCAGGGCUGGGAGGGCCAUGCAUGGCUAGUGCAGUGAGGCAGGGCAAGCUUGAACCUCUGUAAAAAACAACAGUUAAGGACCAUGGAAAUUUGUAUUCAGUUAUGACAUCUAUAACAUUAAAUUGGGGUUCAGCCUGAGAAUGGCAGGUGGGGAAACUACUCCAGCAGAUGGGCAGACCCAAGGCAAGGUGCCCUUGGUGUGGGCAAGUGUCAGCCCCCAGGCUCAGCCCCCAGGCUCAGCCCCCAGGCUCAGCCCCCAGGCUCAGCCCCCAUCUGAAUGCAGGGUCUUGGGGUUGGUGUAGUUCAGUCCUCUGUGUGUCUCUUGCAGUAGAAUAUCUCGCAAAGGAGAAAACAAGAAAGAAGAGGGAAGUAAAGGGCCUGCAAGUCAAGAGUAAGGAGGAAGACAGGCAUCCCAAGCUGGGGAGGAGGGGAAUGUCACCCUAGGCACAUGGAAGGAUGAAGGGAAAGAAGAUCCUGCCUGAGUGAGUGCCUGGCUAAUGCUGGUCUCACAGGAGUCUUGAUGUGGUGUGUUUCAGCAAGUGCCAGGGGUGACUGGCAAACAAAGUCUUCGUGAGGGACAUGCGGGGAAGCUCUGCUGCUGUGGAGGGGCUGAGUUUUGGGGAAGGCCUGUGUGGGAGGCAAGGGCCAAAGCAAGGUGGCCUUGCUGUGGGGUGUGGGGAGGUGUCAGCUCCUGGACUGAGCCCCUAUAUGACUGUAUGGGCCUCAGGUUGGUGUAGCUCAGUGCAUCGUGGGUCUCCCCUGGGGUAGAGCAGCUUGCAAAGGAGAAAGCAAGAAAGAAGAGGAAGAUGGUGAACCUACAAGUAAGAGCGAUCAAGAAAGAGGAUUGGAGUGCACCUGCAAGUCAA